Small nucleolar RNA from Astyanax mexicanus (Mexican tetra), 90 nucleotides. Ensembl annotates it as small nucleolar RNA, C/D box 70B. Its record names the gene SNORD70B. The record is from Ensembl. NCBI's taxonomy places the organism in Eukaryota, Metazoa, Chordata, Actinopteri, Characiformes, Acestrorhamphidae.
AAAACUGUUGUCAAUGAUGUUUCUGUUGAUCUGACUAUAGUAUGAGGACAAAAAUCAGUAAUUCGUCACUACCACUGAGACAACAGCCUU